RNAcentral lists this ribosomal RNA (1254 nucleotides) under Hygophum hanseni. Its description in RNAcentral is "partial 16S rRNA". It matches the Rfam family "Bacterial large subunit ribosomal RNA", at positions 619 to 2570 of the family's 2925-position model. Lineage: Eukaryota; Metazoa; Chordata; Actinopteri; Myctophiformes; Myctophidae. The record is from RNAcentral.
UUUAGCAAGAACCCCUGAGCAAAGAGAACUUCAGUUCAGCGCCCCGAAACUAGACGAGCUACUUCAAGACAGCCUAAACCCCCAGUAGGGCACACCCGUCUCUGUUGCAAAAGAGUGGGAAGAUCUUCAAGUAGAGGUGACAAGCCUACCGAGCCUAGUUUUAGCUGGUUGUCUGAGAAGUGAAUAUAAGUUCAGCCUUCUAAUUUCCCCGGUCAGGAGCACCCCUGCCCCAAGGACCCUCGGUAUAUUAGAAGAGUUAGUCAAGCGGGGUACAGCCCGCCUGAAAAAGGACACAACCUCCACGGAAGACUAAAGAUCAAAUCAACUAAGGAACUUUGUUUUAGUGGGCCCAAAAGCAGCCACCUAAGAAGAAAGCGUUACAGCUCCGACAUCAUUCCCCCCCCCUUCAAUACCGAAGCCCUCUCUUUAAUCCCCCUCACUAUCAGACCCUCCCACCAACCGUGGGAAAGAUUAUGCUAAAAUGAGUAAUAAGAGGGCACGUCCCUCUCCCCCACACGUGUAUACGUCGGAACGGACUCACCGCCGACAACUAACGACCCCUCCAGAGGGCAGUGUACCACCACACAGACACCAGGAAAACCCAACACAUUAAGCUCGUUACCCCAACACAGGUGUGUACCCCCGGAAAGACUAAAAUAAAGGGAAGGAACUCGGCAAACACAAGCCUCGCCUGUUUACCAAAAACAUCGCCUCUUGCAAAAUUAACGAAUAAGAGGUCCCGCCUGCCCAGUGAAUUUGUUAAACGGCCGCGGUAUUCUGACCGUGCAAAGGUAGCGCAAUAAAUUGUCUCUUAAUUGGAGACGAGUAUGAAUGGCAUCACGAGGGCUUAGCUGUCUCCCCUCUACAGUCAAUGAAAUUGAUCUCCCCGUGCAGAAGCGGGGAUACGCUCGUAAGACGAGAAGACCCUAUGGAGCUUUAGACACGAAAGCAGCCCACGUCAAACACCCCCUAAAGGAAUAUAAACAAAAUGGCCCCUGCUCCUAUGUCUUCGGUUGGGACGACCACGGAGAAAAACAAAACCUCCACAUGGACGAGGCCACUCGGCCUUAAAACACAGACCCACAGGUCCAAUCAACAGUACAUCUGACCACUAAAGAACCGGCAUACGCCGAUCAAUGGACCAAGUUACCCUAGGGAUAACAGCGCAAUCCCCUCAAAGAGACCUUAUCGACGAGAGGGUUUACGACCUCGAUGUUGGAUCAGGACAUCCUAAUGGUGCAGCCGCUAUUAAGG